Molecule: long non-coding RNA, 364 nt
Organism: Dermacentor silvarum
Lineage: Eukaryota; Metazoa; Arthropoda; Arachnida; Ixodida; Ixodidae
Exons: 3
Source: RefSeq, a predicted model, not a curated record
GUGACAGAAUAUUGCAUUGGUUGGACCUCGCUUGCAGAGAGAUAAAAAUGGUAAAUGGGUCAGUAAUGGAGAUGAAGUUCGCACUACUGCAAGUGCUCCUGCUUCCCACCUUCUGUCUUGCAGGUGGUUCGUCAUCAGUGAACCCACACCGAAACUGCACGGAUGCCUUUGGCGCUCAGCGUCCUGACAACGCGUCUUGCUUGGUAAAAGCUUAUGGCGACAGAUCUGAAGGAGAGUUCCGCUGCUUGGUUGGUGUAUGUAGAGGUGGUAUAUGCAUUACCACCCUUGCCUCAGAAUGUGCCACAAGCUGAGCACCAUAUAGCCCAUGAUAUUAAGCGAGAGCCAUGCCACUACCAAUAGCUGC